AUGUUAAGAAAAAUCUUGCAGCAGCUGGACGAUUUGCGUAGAAAUGUUUUCCUCGUCAUAUAUUGAUUAAUGUAUCGAUGAACUUUUAUUUAUAACUAUAACAAAAGCAACACAUUCAUACUGAAGUCAGUGAUUAUCAGUGUAUUUUACAUCAGAGAACAAUUAAGCAGGUAGGGUACAAACAACAAUGAAGUUAUUGUUAAUUUUCUCUGUGUCUAUCAUGCAAAUUAGAAGCAUGAAAACAUUAGCAUUAGGACAUUAAAAGUUUCUACCGUUGGAAGAUCUGUUUGUUAAUGUUCUUUAACACUGAGUUUUCCUGCCAUUCCCAAGUAUAUUUUUAUCACCUGUUAGUUUUGACAGAGAAUGCAUCUUCCAGUUAAGGCAUUUUACUUAUUUCAUGAUUCUAACAGAUAGUAACUGAUUCAGUAUUAAACAAGUUUUUUUUUUUCUUUUACAGAAGUCUAGGAUUCCAUCCCACAAGGGUUAGCAAGAAUUUACAAGGUCACAACUGAUUAUUACAUGAGUCUCAGGUUCCACAUUUUUAUCCAGUAAGCUUUGUGUCGCCUUUAGGAUUAUGAUCUGGUGGAAAGAUAACCCACAAGGCAUGGAGGUAGUCUGUGCAGCCAUCUAACGUUACAAUGAUAGCACCAAGCUAUGAAAACCAUCCUGCUUAGUGAGAGUUCAUCUUUGUCAGCCUUUAGACUUGUAUACUCAUCAGCUCCAGGCAUCCUGCUCAUAAAUGCCUUGAAUUCUCAGUCCUAAACUAACAUGUGAGAUAAAAACAGUUGCAUAUGAGAAGUCAUGGGACUCAGGGUCAGAUAUACACAGAAAGCUGCAAAAGUGCUAUACUAUCUAAGAUUGAUAAUUUUCACGAUGGCUUUCAUUUUUUAAAUUCAAAUGCUCGAUAUAUUUUUAAAAACUAGAAAUACUGACAACUCUAAGAAAUAAAAAUUGUCUUUGCUUCUAGUUGGUACAGAUUGUUGGGUACAUAAAAAUGAAGACAAGUAACUGAUGUUAAUUUUCAUAAUGAGGUGGUUGUGACUAUUUUACCGUCAACAAAAUGAAUGAAAUUUAAUAUGGCAAUUUAUAAUCCAGACUCCCUGAGUAUAAAAAUAAAAGAACAUGCAUAACUCCAUGUAUGAGAAGGUUUACCAAAUAAUAUCCAAGCUUCAUGUAGUCUCGGAUUAAAGAAUAUCUUUGGAUUAUUUCCUUCUAGUUUAAUGAAUUCCUAGUCUUUUGUUCAUGUAAUUAUGAACAUGACUAUAAAAAUUAUGUAAGUAUAAUUUCUGGAACCUCAACCCAAAUAUAUUUGUUCAAUGCAAAGUAUGCUAUAUUAUACCCUAUUUAAGAACAACAACAACAACAAAAAAAAGGCUUUGACGAGUAAGUAUUAAACAGAGCAUCCCCAAUCAUACUCAGUUUUAUUGAUUAGCCAUACUCCUCAUCUCCUCCAUGUUGUGGUAUUUAAAAUCUCUUUAGUCUUAAGUGACUUUACAUGGUAUCUAUGGUGUAUAUGAUCUCUUCCUUAAUAUUCCAUGAGGUUAAGAAAGAAGUCUAGAAACUAAUUGUAAAUGUAGAUUCUCAUUUUUUAAAAAAGUAAAGUUUAAGGAGAUCAAGGACAGAGGGAGACAACUGAAGCAUAACACAUUAAAUUUGUCAUUAGCUAUAUAGUGUUGACAUAAACAAUAAAGUAUGAAUAUGUCUAUGUCCGUCAUAAGAUAACCUGCCAGUAUUUUCUUGUCAUUAUUUUGUUGUUAUCAAUACCUUGUUAUAAGUAGAUAAGAUUUUUUAUCUACUUAUAUAUACUAUAUUCAGUCCAUCUGAUUUUAACAAAAGUAUUGUCUGUACAUUAAAUCAGUAGGUAGUUCCUGAAAUAAGUAUCUAACUUGGUAAGUAAUGCAGAUAGGAUCAAACUGUUACUUGAGCAUUUUCUACUCUUUUAAACAGUUUGAUUGCUACAAAUCAAAGAGAUAGAGCCAUUUGAUUUAAGGGAUGUUUGCUGGCCUUCCUGCUCAUCUUACUGAUGAAAUGUAGCAAAGAAUGGAAAAAAAUGAAAAGAACGUAAAACGUGAUGAGUGAAGAAAAUAUCUAUUAAAAAUUGAGAAAAAAAAAAGCAAACUUUACAUGCCCCAGUACAGGGGAGCGCCAGGGCCAAGAAGUGGGAGUGGGUGGGUAGGGGAGAAGGGCUGGGGCAGGGUAUAGGGGACUUUCAGGAUAACAUUUGAAAUGUAAAUGAAGAAAACAUCUAAUAAAAAAUUGAAAAAGAAAAACGUGAUGAGCUCACAUUUUUGACUGAGGCUUGCUGUAGGUUAAUAGUGAGUAAAAGGGGUUGUGGUUCUAAGAAAAGGAAGACCUGAAAGAGCAAGGAAGCAACUAUGGCACAGCGCACACAUAGUAGACCACCCAAAGAAGGAUCACCUAGUUAGAAUCUACAAUGCUCUUAUUUGAUCUGGCUUUUAUUAAUUUACUUCCCAUUAUUAGUUUCUUUUUUUUAGUUUUUUCCAUUUUUAUUAGACAUUUUCUUCAUUUACAUUAUUAGUUUCUAAUAGAAAAUACAAUAAAUUAUUUGGGAAAUUUGAAAUAUGGUAAGUGUAUUUGCUACUACCAAGCUUUUCAGGUUAAAACUGUAAUGAUAAGAAUUAAUUACUAAAAUAAAGACUACUUAGAGCUCCCCUUAGAAUAAUAUCAGCAGGAAAGCUCUCUGCAGCAUUUCAGGUAGUCUACAAUUAUGGCAUUUCAUUAUAUGCCAUUGAUCUUGCACAUUUUAACUUUGACUUAAAAGGAAAACUUGUCAGGCAAUUAACCUACAUAUAAAGAUUUGUAUAAUAGGGAGCGCCUUUUGAAUUGCUAAUCAGUAUCUCUUUUUCUCCCCAGCAGUGCUGUGAGGGAUGCUCUUUCUUCAUGUGAACUCUAUCUUACAUACUGUAUUAGCAUCUAAUCUUUCAACUGUCACUUGGGUUUUCCAUAACAGCUCUCCCCACUCUAUUGCUUUAGUCUAUCAGAAGAAAACAGCUGAACUACCAAAGCCUGCUUGAAUAGGCUGCCAUAUUAAUGCAUUUUUCAUCAUAUCCAGAGUACCAAAAUUAGAUAUUAUUAUUUUAGAAAUCAAUAUAGUAUAUUCAGAAACACCUGUCAUUAGCCAAGGAAUUUAGGGAUUAAAUAAAUGAGACUCUUUUCAAAGUCAAUGGUCAUGUAUCUAAGAUAAAAAUGUUAAGAAGAAAGAGAGACUUGAUAAGAAUCAAGUACCUAAUUUUAAUCAUGUGAUCUAUAAUAUUAAUAUUACAUCUAUCUUUGUUCAAAAUUUUAAAAAUUUCAGAAAAAAAAUUGUUUAAGUGAGGGGUUGGAGAGAUGGCUCAGUGGUUAAGAGCAUUGACUGCUCUUCCAAAGGUCCUGAGUUCAAUUUCCAGAAACCAAAUGGUGGCUCACAACCAUCUGUAAUGGGAUCUGAUGCCCUCUUCUUGUGUGUGUGAAGACAGUGACCAUGUACCCAUAUACAUUAGAUAGAUAGAUAGAUAGAUAGAUAGAUAGAUAGAUAGAUAGAUAGAUAGAUCUUAAAAAUUUUGUUUAAGUGAAUUGUAUAUUAUAAACCAGUCCAACAUAUUUAGCUCAGCAUUUAAGGUUCUGAAUGUUUGGUGGUAUCCAAUAUGUGACAACUUACAUUUCAAUACCUUCAUGCAUAUAUCUUUUCUCUUAACCAAAUGAGUAUACAGUCUUCCCUUCAUAUAUUUCUAAUUCCCUUCCAUAUCAUCUUUCUAAGUUUCUUAAAUUCUAAAUUGUGCAUAAGUUUGAUUAAUAUUGAAAUUUCAGUUUUUUAAAUGUAUUUUUUGGUACCUAUUAUGGAAGUUUCAAUAUAAUACUCUGUUUCUCCAGUGUUCAGGAUGAAGAAGAGGGUGGUAGCUCCCUGACUAUAUCAUCCAAAUGUAAGAUCUGCUUGAUGACCAUUCUGUCAAUCUAAAAGCCUGAGGAGAAAUGCAAUCCUUUGUUGUGAGGUGAUAAGAAUUACAUAGACUAGUGAUUGCAGAAAUGAAGAUUAAAGACAUUUAAGCAAAUGUAAGAUAUCGAUAAAGUUUAAAAAUGAUUGUAAAUCAAAGACUCACUAUGGCUAUGAAGAAGGGGAACUAGUAAAAUCAAACGAAGAGCCACUUCUAUUUGGACAUAGUAAAUCUGAGAAGUAAAAGAUAAUAUUUGACAAAUGCACUCAGCGUAUAUAUUGAUAAUGCUUACAUAUAUAUUCAUUUAUAUUAAUAUAAAGUAUCAUUAUCCUAUCACAUGUUCUCUACUGUGGAGACAAAUUAAUAAUUUUUAAGAAUGGUUUGGGUCUUGGGGAUUUGGAUGUUUUGACAUUUGUUGUGUGUGUGUCUGUGUGUGUCUCUCUCUCUCUCUGGGGCAUCUGUGUAUGUGUGUGUGUGUGUGCAUCUCUCUCUCUCUCUCUCUCUCCCCCUCUGUGUGUGUGGGGGGGCAUCUCUCUGUCUCUCUUUCUCUCUGUGUGUGUGUGUCUGUGUGGUGGCAUAUCUCUCUCUGUCUCUGUGUGUGUGUGUGUGUGUCUAUGUGUCUAUGUGUGUGUAUGUAUGUAUGUAUGUAUCUCUCUCUCUGUGGGGGGCAUCUCUGUCUCUGUCUCUUUCUCUCUCUGUCUCUCUGUCUCUGUCUUUCUCUCUCUCUCUCUCUCCCUCUCUCUCUCUCUCUCUCUCUCUCUCUCUGUGUGUGUGUGUGUGUGUGUGUGUGUGUGUGUGUUUAUACUUCCACUCUGUUGGUUCUGGAGAAUGGCUUCAGGUUGUCAAGUUUAGUGGUAGGCUCUGCUACUACUGAGCAUCUCACAAGCCCUAAGGAUAGGUUUAACUGUGCAAUUUUGUCUUAAACCCUGUCAUUGCACACUGAUAAUAAUCUAAGUGCAGAAUUCUCAAGCAUGCUUUGGAUGAGGUACGAUUCUAGGACGGACAGUCUAAGAGAAUACUAAUUAGGCAGUAGGAGCUGAGCACAUUCUGAAUAUGUCCUCAUAGUAAAGAACAAAAUCUGUAAACAAGAAUUAUACUAUUGAGAAAAGAUAUUUGUAUUCCUAUAAGUUGCCUUUGAGAGAUAAGAAAUUUACUAACAGGAUUAUUUAGAAAUCAAGAGCUUCCAAUCAUAAAACCUAGGACUUGCUGGGCAUCUGUCCUUGUCUAUGUAAACUUUGCAACAAUUUAGUUGUCAUCAAUUAUCUAUCUGCAGUAAACUGGAGGGAGGUUUUGACGAAUGUAGACUUGGCUAAUAGGACCUAAGACAGAUAAUUUAUCUCAGUUCUACAUAUCUAAUAAUUUCUGGGCAGAAUUAACACACUCUUGCUCCAUUUUUAUUUUUGUUAGAAAUAUUCACAACACUAUCAGAAGAGUAAGAGGAUCUGAGAACGUUAGAUUUUACCCCUUCAUAAAAAGGAGCUAUAACAUCCUGCACAGAAUAGAAUAUGGGCAUCAUUCUGUGCCAUUGGAAUCGAUGCACACCAGAUUCUUACCGAACAUGUUACAUGAAUGUUUUUCUGCUCAAUCAUUUGAGGGCUCUUUCAACUGAAUAAAAUUGCUUCUGAAAUGUUAGCCUAAUAUUAGCUAAAUAUGGCCAAAUGAAUCCUCAGAAGCCUUGAUGGAGAUUAUUCCACAAUUCCAGGAGACUAACAGACAGUCCAUUACAAGGACACUUGAGUUCAUGGUAAGAUAUUUGAAUGAGGGCUACAUGGCAGCUGUAAAGUUAAUGGGAUAGACUAUUUUCUCCCCUCUUACACAUUUGAAAAUCAUAGAAAAACAAAUGGAAAAAAAAGAUCAGAGUACAUAGGGGUUUUAAUGAAAUAAGCUCAAGAAGAAUAUGAUCUUAGAAAGCAAAUAUGGCAUUACUUUUUCUGAGUUGAAUGAAAGGGAGAAUGAGAAGUAGCUCUGUGGUAGAGAAUCCUGGGAGGGAUAGGGGGCGCUGUUUGCUUUCUGUGAAAAAAGAAGACAGGUCACAUGACAAAUGAAGCAACAUAAUGAGAUGCAAAAGUGCAAAUUAUUGGGAAAUUUAGACUAAUUUUGCCAAGAAAUGUAUGAGAAAAAUUGGAACCAGGAAGCAUUUGAUGUUCAUAAUGAUUUGCAUUGAAAGAGAUGGACAGAUAUUUUUGAAUAAAUGAGUAAUUACAUAAUUGUAUAAGGUAGUGUUCUUCAAGGGGUAGGUAGCAUGUAUCAGCAUGAACCUGAAGUCUUGAUAAACAGAUACCAAGUUAUUAGAUCUGUCUAUGAGCACCUUUUCUCAGUAAGUUUGUAAUGUGUUUCAGGAUUUUUUUUUUUUUACUUCUAAAUAUAAGUAGAUGAUGCUGAGCCUGUUGUAGGUUUUGCUUGCUUUUAUUUUUUUCUUAAUAUUUUGGUCUUAGGUAAUAAUUUUAAAAGCACAUUAAAAUAUAUAGGUAAGAAGUAUUUAUUUGAAUUAUAGUGUUCAAUUAUUAAUAAAUUGAACCCAAAAGAGCAUUAUUUUAUAGUACUACCUUAAGAGAAACAAUAUUAUCACCAGUAUGUAUUUUAUAUUGUUGAAAAAAAAAACAGCAUCAAACUUUCUAGAUCCGGGUGUGAGUGGCAAUUAGAUUUGAAGGUGAAUUCAUGGUAUUUGAAGGGUUUAGGAGACUCUUAGUUGUAAAGUACUUAAUAUGCAAAUAUAAAGACCAUGUGUGAUCCUCAUAAUCCAGAUCUCCCAUUCCCCUAAAAAUUGCCAGUGGCACACUAUUCUUACAUCAGUACUCUGGGAGUAAAGACUAGAAGAUCCCUGGAGCUCACUGGUCACCCUAAAGUAGCCAACUCUACAAGCAUAAUGACUGUGCAAGACUCUGUCUCAAAACAGAUACACACAGCCUGGCAAAUGACAUUUAAGGUUGUUCUAUGGCCUCACAUUUACACUUAAAUACACAAAGUAUUCUAAUUGAAACACCCUUCCAAGUAUGAUUCUAGACAUCAAAAAUACUUGAUUCCUUUCAUUCUUUCUCUGCAAGGACAAUGCCUACUAGCAAUACUUGUGUCAUGGACAAAAUAGGAAUAGAAUAAGUACAACCAAACUCAGAAUCACCUUAAAUCCCAGGCUUCUAUCUACUCUUCUAACACUCCACUGUAUAAAAAGUAAACCAUGUGACCAAGUCCAGAGUUCCUUCCCACCAUGAAGCCAUGUCAGGAAUGUGAGUCCCUUAUUCUAUAGAGUAGUUUGGGGGGAAAUGAUAACUGAAGAAACGACUACUAGUUAAUAUAUUGCCAUGAAAGACAUUUUCACAGCUGCCUUUGUCUGUGAUGGGUUGACUUAGAUAACUUAUAAGAUCUUGCUAGCUUUAUCCUAUGGCUAUGACUAUGCCAUUUUGAUGGAAGCUGAGUUGUUUGUGAAGCACAUAGAUCUAUAAUUCAUUCUUCUAGAUGAUCUGUAAAUGGUUUACUCGUGUGUGUGUGUGUGUGUGUGUGUGUGUGUGUGUGUGUGUGUGUGUGUGAUGAGAUCCCAAAGAGAUCAUGAUAUGGAAGAAAGAAAGAAAUCUUCAGGGUGAGGAGUAAAGUGUCAUGGACUCUAUGUGACAUGAAAGAAAAGGAAGAGUCAAUCUAGGAGAGGGAGGAGAGCCAGUCAGAGGAGAAAAGGGAAUUUAUGGAACAGAUGGAGAAGAGGAGGUAAGCAACUGAGAAAUAUGUUUAAUAAUAAAAGAAUGUGAAAGGGCCAUAAUUAAACCAAUCGCUAUAUAUACUAGCUUAAGGUUAUAUUAUUAUUAUCAUUAUCAUUAUCAUCAUUAUUACUUAAAAGUGUGAAUCCAGCUUGUAUUAUCCACAGAAGAUCAAUAUGCAAGAUGGAGAGUGUUGCCAGUUACACUUACUAUUAAAUAAUGUUUUCAAACUUAUUGAGAAUCAUUUGUAACCAACUGAUCUCCAUCCACUGUUAGAGACUGGAGAAGUGUCACUAAAGUCAUUUUGCAGAUGGAGAAAAUGAUCUCCACAGUCAAGUUAAUGCAGGAAUGUCAGGGAAUAACUAGAUGCCGGGCUACUCCUUGAAAUGUAGUGUUUUUCUUUACAUAUUAUACCAGAGCAUCGUACUGCCAGAUAUGAAGAAGACAAGCCUGUUACAAGCAAUUAUUACAUCAGAACCUUGACUUUUAUACUAAGUAUAUAAAUUAUAAAGCUGUGAUAAUAUAAAAUUUGGCAUAUGUCAUUCAAAAGUAGGGAAAGUCAUCUCUUCCAGGGGAACUUUUGACUAGCAAAAGAGAAACUCAGUUCUACAGAGAAGGGAGAGAAAGACUUAAAUGUGAAACUGACUAAGCAGUGCUUUUGAGUAAAAUUUGAAAUGAAGAUAGAAAUAAAUUAUCUAAUACCAGUAGUUACAGAUUUACUGACCCCAUUGCAUGAACUUUAUAAUGUCGGAGGAAUGCUAUAUACAAUGUGUCACUAGGAAGUCAAGAGUACUGUGAGCAAUGCCCACAGGAAAGCACACACACACACAAACACACACACACAUGCACGCAAGCACGCAGGCACGCACGAACACACACAGGUUGCAGAAUAGAGAAACAGUGAAACAAAGAGGGAUAGAGAAAGAGACAGACAGAGGCACUAAGGCAAUAAGGCCUGAUAGUUAAAAGCUGAAUGGUUUUUAUAAUUAUUUUUUAUUUAAAAAUUUUCAUACACUAUAUUUUAGUCAUCUUUUCCCCUACCCCAACUACAUCGAGACCUUCCUUACUUCUCUACACAUUCAACUUCAUCUUUUCUUUCUCUCUCAAAACAAAAACAAAAAACCAGACCCCACAAAAACAAAAAUCAAAACACAACAGUCAAAAGAGGAAUAUGAUCAAAACAAAGCCAAUAUCAAAUGAAACAAAAGGUAUGCAUAUGUAUGCACACAAACAAGGCAAAACCAUGAAGUUCAUUUUCUGUUGACCAAUGACUUGUGAGCAUGAGUCCUGCCCUGGAAUGUGGUUAAGACACUUAAUGAAACUCUUUAGGAAGAAACUAAAGUCAUUCCUUGCCAGAUGGUAUCAAUUACAAAUAACUUCUUGGUUCAGGGUGGGACCCGUAUCAACUUCUGCCUCUCAGUGCUGACUUUAAUGUGUACAGAUUUUAAGCAUUCUGCCACAGUCUCUGUGAGUUAAUAUAUAUGUCAAUACUGAAGAGUUAAGGAAAUUCCUGCUUAAGAGCUAAAGCAGUCAUCUUGUAUUCUCUCUCUCUCUCUCUCUCUCUCUCUCUCUCUCUCUCUCUCUCUCUCUCUGUGUGUGUGUGUGUGUGUGUGUGUAUGUGUGUGUGCAGAAAGAGAGAUGUUUAAUAUGAGCCCUAAAUAGGAUGGAGCCGUCAUUCACUUUAUCUAUAGGAGAGAGAUUGAGGCGAUAACUUGAAGUAUAUUGAUAUAUAACUCUGGGUCUGGGGGAAGGUGGCUACUUGGAAGUGUUGAAAUGUAUGAGCCAAAUGGAAGAUCAGCUUUCUCCUUCUAGCCUUCCAGUUAAUCAGCAUCUUACCUUGUCAUGUAAACUCUGCUAACCUGCUUCAUUACAAUGUCUAUGUCCUCUGUUUCCAUAUUAAAAUUUGGAUUAUCAAAUGUUAAAUAUUUAAACUAUGAUUCAAGUUCAUCUUCUCUAAUAUGCUAGUGAGAACAUAUCAUGCGACAUAAAGUCCAGAGGAGAAUAAAGGUAUCUGUAACACACCCCCAGCCGAGGGCUAACCAGAAAGGUAAAGCGUAUCCCCCAGAUGGAUCUUGGUUGAUCCUAUUAACCAUUUUUCUUCAUUAGUAGUAACUACAAAGACUGUGGUGAUAUAUACGGCAGCAGGUCAGUGAAGACAAUGAAUAUAAAUAUUAGACAACUAUAGUUAAUGAAAUAAUUAGAAAAAUCAUAGGUGGUGAUAUCUUAAGAAAAACGACAAUUUUAGUCUUGUAUUGACGUUCUCCUCGUUUCUGUUCAUUACUCAAUUUGAUCCCUCAAGACUCCUAAAACUCAUUUUUAUAUUUGAAUAACUGUGUAAGUUGGAAUAUUAGUUAAAUACCCUUGCUGUUUCCCCAAAGUUAUUUGGCAGGAUUUGAUUAUUUGUGCAAUGUUAUAUUCUGUCGAGAAAUUUUUGGAGAAAAGCUGUUAAGUUUUUAAUUUUUGCCAGAACACUUUAGGUGUCAGAAUAAUGAACUUUUAAAUACUCUGGCAACAGAUUAAAUAGCAUCUUGACAUUUACUUGAAAGAGUUGUGUAGUUUCUUCUAUUUGAUCAAAUUACUGCUGUCACCACAUAAAGAUGAAAAGAGACCUUUUUUUAAAUGACCACAAAUACAAUAAGUAUAAAGUAGUUUCUGUCAGUUGAUAGCCAUGUGUUUCUUGAAUAGGUGAUUUCUCAAUUAUUUUACAUAUUUAGAGCUUCACGGCAUUUUUUCCAAACUAUAAAUUAUAUACUUUUAUUUCUCUCAAAGAACUCUGCUGAGGCUCUUAUGUGCUUUUGCUAUAUUAUAAAUUAAUAUUGACAUUUAGUAAUGAUUAACUUGUGGUUUUGUCUCCUCCUCUUACUUCCUUAUAAAGGAGAUUCGUGACUCUUUUCUGUUGUGUUUGUCUGUUUGCUUGUUUCUUGGUUUUCAUUGGUUCUCCUAGAACUCUCUUUAUCGGCCAGUUUGGCCUCAAACUCAGACUUACCUGCCUCUGCCUCCUGAGUGCUGGGUUUAAAGAUGUGCACCACCACUGUUUGGUUCAUUCGUUGUUUUCUAUCCAGUGUUCUCCUAUACAUUUUUAUUUUAACAUGAAUCAGAUUGGCCUGUUUUAAUUCUGCAAGUAUGACAUGAGUAAAAAUCUAUAAAAGAAAGAUUCAAGGGACAAAUACCUUCCAAGGCAAGUAUAAUAAAUAACUUAUCACAAUAAAAACCUCUGUUUGGAUAUUGAUUACAUAGGUAGUGUUUAAUAAGAUGGAGAGCUUUGGAGAAUAAGGCAUAUCUGGGUUUCUCAUUUUUCAAUGCAUUGAUACUUCGAAAUUGCAUGUUUUACUUACUUAAAGAAUUAUUAAAAAACUCCUUGAAUAAUUAUUGACACUUUAUUUAAAAAGCAGAAGAGAAUCCAGAUGUUAUGGCUUGCUUUUUGUAAAGUUAGUUAUUGUAUUUGUUUGUAGGUCUCUAGAAAAUAGUUCUUUUAUUUUUUUUUAAUCUUUUUUUUUGGAUAUUUUCUUUAUUUACAUUUCAAUAUGUCCCCUUUCCCGGCACUCCAUCCCCCCCUGGAAACCUGCAUCCCAUUCCCCCUCCCCCAGUUUCUAUGAGGGUGUUCCCCCACCCACCCAUUCCUGCCUCCCUGCCCUUGAAUUCUCCUAAACUGGGGUAUCAAGCCUUCACAGGACCAAGGACUUCUCCUCCCAUUGAUGCCCAAGAAGGUGAUUCUCUGCAAUAUAUGCAUCUGGAGCCAUGGGUCCCUCCAUGUGUACUCCUUGGUUGGUGGUUUACUCCCUGGGAGCACUGGGUAGGGAGGUGUGGUUGGUAGUUAUUAUUGUUCUUUCUAUGGGCUUGCAAACCCCUUCAGCUACUUCAGUCCUUUCUCUAACUCCUCCAGUAGAGACCCCAUUGGGGACCGCAUGCUCAUUCCAUCUGUUGGCUGCGGGCAUCUACCUUUGUAUUUAUCAGGCUCAGGCAGAGCCUCUCAGGAGACAACUAUAUCAGGCUCUUUUAAGCAUGCACUUCUUGGCAUCCACAACAGUGUCUGGUUUGGUGAUUGUAUAUGGGAUGGAUUCCCAGGUGGGGCAGUCUCUGGAUGGUCUUUCCUUCAGUCUCUGCUCCACACUUUGUCUCUGUAUUUGCUCCCAUGAGUAUUUUGUUCCCCUUUCUAACAAGGACUAAAGCACCCAUAUUUUGGUCUUCCUUCUUCUUGAGCUUCAUGUGGUAUGUGAAUUGUAUCUUGGGUAUUCCCAGCUUUUGGGCUAAGAUCCACUUAUCAGCAAGUGCAUACCAUGUGUGUUCUUUUGUGAUUGAGUUACCUCACUCAGGAUGAUAUUUUCUAGUUCCAUACAUUUGCCUAAGAAUUACAUGAAAUCGUUGUUUUUAAUAGCUGAGUAGUACUCCAUUGUGUAAAUGUACCACAUUUUCUGUAUCCAUUCCUCUGUUGAGGGACAUAUGACUUCUUUCCAGAUUCUGGCUAUUAUACAUAAGGUUCCUAUAAACAUAGUGGAGCAUGUGUCCUUAUUAUAUGUUAGAGCAUCUUCUGGGUAUAUGCCCAGGAGUAGUAUAGCUGUGUCCUCAGGUAGUACUAUGUCCAAUAUUCAGAGAUCAAGAAUCAGAAAAUGGGACCUCAUAAAAUUGCAAAGCUUCUGUAAGGCAAAGGACACUGUCAAUGGGACAAAAAGGCAACCAACAGAUUGGGAGAAGAUCUUUACCAAUCCUACACCUAAUAGAGGAAAAAUAUCCAAUAUAUACAAAGAACUCAAAAAAAUCAAAUAACCCUAAUGAAAAAUGGAGUACAGAUCUAAACAAAGAAUUCUCUACUGAGGUAUAUCAAAUGGCCAAGAAGCACCUACAGAAAUGUUCAACAUCCUUAGUCAUCAGGGAAAUGCAAAUCAAAGCAGCCCUGAGAUUCCACUUCAUACCAGUCAGAAUGAUUAAGAUAAAAAACUCAGGAGACAAUAGAUGCUGGCAAGGAUGUGGACAAAGAAGAAUACUCCUCCACUGUUGGUGGGAUUGCAAGCUGCUAUAACCACUCUGGAAAUC
Molecule: long non-coding RNA, 12649 nt
Filed under: Mus musculus (house mouse)
Lineage: Eukaryota; Metazoa; Chordata; Mammalia; Rodentia; Muridae
Description: long non-coding RNA chr16:72335059-72347708
Source: RNAcentral